AUGCAGCAGGGGAGGACGAGGAGCCGCCCGCGCAUCGCCGGCGCCCGGCCGGGGCCCUCCUCCUCGCCGUCGCGGCGUGGCGGGAGCAGCGGCGGCGAGGGCGCCGGACGGGGGCUCCGGCUGCACCGGCUGCCGGUGCAGCUGGCGCAGGGGCCGCGGCCGCGGAGGCGGGCCGACGGGAAGAGGGCGCUCUGGUGGCGCGACGACGCCCGCGUCCACCCCGUGACCCAUCCGCCUUCCCCGCCGCCGCCGCCGCCGCUCGACCGCCCGCACACCUGCUACGACGUCCUCGCGCCGGACUCCCCCUUCGCCUCCUCCUCCCUGCUGCUGCUGCCGCCCGAUCGUCGCACGCCAUGGGAGGAGGCCAAGGUGGUGGUGAACGUGACGGUGGAGGGGAGCCCGGGGCCGGUGAGGGCGAUGGUGAGCCUCGGCUCCAGCAUCCGGGACGCCAUCGCCGCGGUGCUGGAGCGGUACCACCGGGAGGGGAGGAGCCCCCGGCUGGACCCGGCCUCCGCCGACUCCUUCCAGCUACAUCACUCUCACUUCUCCCUCCAGAGUUUAAACAAGAACGACAAGAUGAGCGAAGUGGGCGGCAGAAAUUUCUACCUGCACAAAAACGACGGAAGCAACGGGCUUGUACCUCACAGGGAACAGGAGGCGGGUGUGCAUUCAGGUGGUGGUGAAACUACAGAGAGCCGUGGAGGGCAGCUUGCCGGUGUCCCAUACCACCACCAGCUCCUCGCCAUUGUCAUGAAGAAGCUGGAUAAAAUCGGCAGGCGGACCAAGAGGAUUUGGAGGCUCCUGACCUGUGACUGCACAUGA
Molecule: ribosomal RNA, 822 nt
Filed under: Triticum aestivum (bread wheat)
Lineage: Eukaryota; Viridiplantae; Streptophyta; Magnoliopsida; Poales; Poaceae
Description: partial small subunit ribosomal RNA
Source: RNAcentral